UUUCCAGAGAUGGAUUGGUGCCUUCGGGAACUGUGAGACAGGUGCUGCAUGGCUGUCGUCAGCUCGUGUUGUGAAAUGUUGGGUUAAGUCCCGCAACGAGCGCAACCCUUAUCCUUUGUUGCCAGCGAUUCGGUCGGGAACUCAAAGGAGACUGCCAGUGAUAAACUGGAGGAAGGUGGGGAUGACGUCAAGUCAUCAUGGCCCUUACGACCAGGGCUACACACGUGCUACAAUGGCGCAUACAAAGAGAAGCGACCUCGCGAGAGCAAGCGGACCUCAUAAAGUGCGUCGUAGUCCGGAUUGGAGUCUGCAACUCGACUCCAUGAAGUCGGAAUCGCUAGUAAUCGUGGAUCAGAAUGCCACGGUGAAUACGUUCCCGGGCCUUGUACACACCGCCCGUCACACCAUGGGAGUGGGUUGCAAAAGAAGUAGGUAGCUUAACCUUCGGGAGGGCGCUUACCACUUUGUGAUUCAUGACUGGGGUGAAGUCGUAACAAGGUAACCGUAGGGGAACCUGCGGUUGGAUCACCUCCUUACCUGAAAGAAGC
RNAcentral lists this ribosomal RNA (548 nucleotides) under Salmonella enterica. RNAcentral's name for it is "bacterial SSU rRNA". It matches the Rfam family "Bacterial small subunit ribosomal RNA", at positions 997 to 1533 of the family's 1533-position model. RNAcentral also lists the same sequence under 1 other name. The record is from RNAcentral. Lineage: Bacteria; Pseudomonadati; Pseudomonadota; Gammaproteobacteria; Enterobacterales; Enterobacteriaceae.